UCUGGUUGAUUCUGCCAGUAGUCAUAUGCUUGUCUCAAAGAUUAAGCCAUGCAUGUCUAAGUAUAAGCACUUUAUACCGUGAAACUGCGAAUGGCUCAUUAAAUCAGUUAUCGUUUAUUUGAUAGUACCUUACUACAUGGAUACCUGUGGUAAUUCUAGAGCUAAUACAUGCUGAAAACCUCGACUUCGGAAGGGGUGUAUUUAUUAGAUAAAAAACCAAUGCCCUUCGGGCUCCUUGGUGAAUCAUAAUAACUUAACGAAUCGCAUGGCCUUGCGCCGGCGAUGGUUCAUUCAAAUUUCUGCCCUAUCAACUUUCGAUGGUAGGAUAGUGGCCUACCAUGGUGGCAACGGGUAACGGGAAUUAGGGUUCGAUUCCGGAGAGGGAGCCUGAGAAACGGCUACCACAUCCAAGGAAGGCAGCAGGCGCGCAAAUUACCCAAUCCCGACACGGGGAGGUAGUGACAAUAAAUACUGAUACGGGCUCUUUUGGGUCUCGUAAUUGGAAUGAGUACAAUUUAAAUCCCUUAACGAGGAACAAUUGGAGGGCAAGUCUGGUGCCAGCAGCCGCGGUAAUUCCAGCUCCAAUAGCGUAUAUUAAAGUUGUUGCAGUUAAAAAGCUCGUAGUUGAACCUUGGUCUGGCUGGCCGGUCCGCCUCACCGCGAGUACUGGUCCGGCUGGACCUUUCCUUCUGGGAAUCCCAUGGCCUUCACUGGCUGUGGGGGGAACCAGGACUUUUUACUGUGAAAAAAUUAGAGUGUUCAAAGCAGGCCUUUGCUCGAAUACAUUAGCAUGGGAAUAAUAGAAUAGGACGUGGUGGUUCUAUUUUGUUGGUUUCUAGGACCGCCGUAAUGAUUAAUAGGAAUAGUCCGGGGGCGUCAGUAUUCAGCUGUCAGAGGUGAAAUUCUUGGAUUUGCUGAAGACUAACUA
Molecule: ribosomal RNA, 928 nt
Filed under: Aspergillus heteromorphus CBS 117.55
Lineage: Eukaryota; Fungi; Ascomycota; Eurotiomycetes; Eurotiales; Aspergillaceae
Description: SSU rRNA
Rfam family: Eukaryotic small subunit ribosomal RNA
Source: RNAcentral